RNAcentral lists this ribosomal RNA (468 nucleotides) under uncultured bacterium. RNAcentral describes it as "partial 16S ribosomal RNA". It matches the Rfam family "Bacterial small subunit ribosomal RNA", at positions 28 to 507 of the family's 1533-position model. The record is from RNAcentral.
GACGAACGCUGGCGGCGUGCUUAACACAUGCAAGUCGAACGGAAAGGCCCUGCUUUUGUGGGGUUCUCGAGUGGCGAACGGGUGAGUAACACGUGAGUAACCUGCCCUUGACUUUGGGAUAACUUCAGGAAACUGGGGCUAAUACCGGAUAGGAGCUCCUGCUGCAUGGUGUGGGUUGGUAAGUUUCGGCGGUUGGGGAUCGACUCGCGGCUUAUCAGCUUGUUGGUGUGGUAGGGGCUUACCAAGGCUUUGACGGGUAGCCGGCCUGGGAGGGGGACCGGCCACAUGGGGCUUGGGUAAGGGCCCGACAUCCAACGGGAGGAAACGGUGGGGAAAUUGGCAGAGGGGGGCGAAGCCGGAUGCGACAAGCCGCGGGGCGGAAUACCGGCCUUCGGGUGGAAAACCGCUUUGGCAUGUGACAAAGCGUUAGUGACGGUAAUUGGUAAAGAAGCACCGGCUAACUACGUG